Molecule: ribosomal RNA, 592 nt
Filed under: Naganishia vaughanmartiniae
Lineage: Eukaryota; Fungi; Basidiomycota; Tremellomycetes; Filobasidiales; Filobasidiaceae
Description: eukaryotic LSU rRNA
Rfam family: 5.8S ribosomal RNA (bases 168-321)
Source: RNAcentral
CGGAAGGAUCAUUAAUGAAUACAGAUGCCUGUCGAGCUUGCUCACGGGCUUUCUAUCAUAUCCAUAACACCUGUGCACUUGUUGGAUGUCUAGAGACGUAAAGUCGACAGUCAUCCACUUACACUAAACAAUAAUGUAACAAAUGUAGUCUUAUUAUAACAAAAUAAAACUUUCAACAACGGAUCUCUUGGCUCUCGCAUCGAUGAAGAACGCAGCGAAAUGCGAUAAGUAAUGUGAAUUGCAGAAUUCAGUGAAUCAUCGAAUCUUUGAACGCACCUUGCGCUCCUUGGUAUUCCGAGGAGCAUGCCUGUUUGAGUGUCAUGAAAACCCUCAACCUUAGAUUGGUUAUUUGACCUUUCUUUGGCUUGGAUUUGGACGUUUGCCGAUGUCAAGUCGGCUCGUCUUAAAAGUAAUAGCUGGAUCUGUCUCGCGACAUGGUUUGACUUGGCGUAAUAAGUAUUUCGCUAAGGACAUCUUCGGAUGGCCCUGUUGCAGGACUAAAGACCGCUUUCUAAUCCAUUGAUCUUCGGAUUAAUAUUCAUAACAUCUGGCCUCAAAUCAGGUAGGACUACCCGCUGAACUUAAGCAUAUC